This 429-nucleotide ribosomal RNA is filed under the name Chloroflexota bacterium. RNAcentral describes it as "Chloroflexi bacterium partial 16S ribosomal RNA". It matches the Rfam family "Bacterial small subunit ribosomal RNA", at positions 355 to 776 of the family's 1533-position model. Lineage: Bacteria; Bacillati; Chloroflexota. The record is from RNAcentral.
UAGGGAAUCUUCGGCAAUGGACGAAAGUCUGACCGAGCAACGCCGCGUGAGUGAAGAAGGUUUUCGGAUCGUAAAACUCUGUUGUUAGAGAAGAACAAGGACGUUAGUAACUGAACGUCCCCUGACGGUAUCUAACCAGAAAGCCACGGCUAACUACGUGCCAGCAGCCGCGGUAAUACGUAGGUGGCAAGCGUUGUCCAGAUUUAUUGGGCGUAAAGCGAGCGCAGGCGGUUUCUUAAGUCUGAUGUGAAAGCCCCCGGCUCAACCGGGGAGGGUCGUUGGAAACUGGGAGACUUGAGUGCAGAAGAGGAGAGUGGAAUUCCAUGUGUAGCGGUGAAAUGCGUAGAUAUAUGGAGGAACACCAGUGGCGAAGGCGGCUCUCUGGUCUGUAACUGACGCUGAGGCUCGAAAGCGUGGGGAGCAAACAGG